UGAGACUGUGAUGUGGUCUUCCAACUGCACGAUCUUUGGAGAAGAAAGAAGAACAGGCCCCAUUUUAGAUGAAUGUAUAAGCUCAAAACCUCCAUCAGUGCCUCUGGAUAAUUAGAGCUGACCUACUAAGGCCUUUCGAGCUCUUAAAUGUUAACUACUGGACCAAGGAAAAGAUAUGUGUGAG
Long non-coding RNA from Nothoprocta perdicaria, 184 nucleotides. RefSeq lists it as uncharacterized. The transcript is spliced from 3 exons. The record is from RefSeq and is a predicted model, not a curated record. Lineage: Eukaryota; Metazoa; Chordata; Aves; Tinamiformes; Tinamidae.